Molecule: ribosomal RNA, 253 nt
Filed under: uncultured bacterium
Lineage: Bacteria
Description: partial 16S ribosomal RNA
Rfam family: Bacterial small subunit ribosomal RNA
Source: RNAcentral
UACGGAGGGUGCAAGCGUUAUCCGGAUUCACUGGGUUUAAAGGGUGCGUAGGCGGGUUGGUAAGUCCGUGGUGAAAUCUCCAAGCUUAACUUGGAAACUGCCGUGGAUACUAUCAAUCUUGAAUAUCGUGGAGGUAAGCGGAAUAUGUCAUGUAGCGGUGAAAUGCUUAGAUAUGACAUAGAACACCAAUUGCGUAGGCAGCUUACUACACGAUCAUUGACGCUGAGGCACGAAAGCGUGGGGAUCAAACAGG